CACACCGCCCGUCACACCAUGGGAGUUGGAUUCACUCGAAGGCGUUGAGCUAACCCGCAAGGGAGGCAGGCGACCACAAUGGGUUUAGCGACUGGGGUG
This 99-nucleotide ribosomal RNA is filed under the name uncultured bacterium. Its description in RNAcentral is "partial 16S ribosomal RNA". It matches the Rfam family "Bacterial small subunit ribosomal RNA", at positions 1386 to 1482 of the family's 1533-position model. The record is from RNAcentral.